GAUGAACGCUGGCGGCGUGCCUAAUACAUGCAAGUCGAGCGAACAGACGAGGAGCUUGCUCCUCUGACGUUAGCGGCGGACGGGUGAGUAACACGUGGAUAACCUACCUAUAAGACUGGGAUAACUUCGGGAAACCGGAGCUAAUACCGGAUAAUAUAUUGAACCGCAUGGUUCAAUAGUGAAAGACGAUUUUGCUGUCACUUAUAGAUGGAUCCGCGCCGCAUUAGCUAGUUGGUAAGGUAACGGCUUACCAAGGCAACGAUGCGUAGCCGACCUGAGAGGGUGAUCGGCCACACUGGAACUGAGACACGGUCCAGACUCCUACGGGAGGCAGCAGUAGGGAAUCUUCCGCAAUGGGCGAAAGCCUGACGGAGCAACGCCGCGUGAGUGAUGAAGGUCUUCGGAUCGUAAAACUCUGUUAUUAGGGAAGAACAAAUGUGUAAGUAACUAUGCACGUCUUGACGGUACCUAAUCAGAAAGCCACGGCUAACUACGUG
RNAcentral lists this ribosomal RNA (497 nucleotides) under uncultured bacterium. RNAcentral's name for it is "partial 16S ribosomal RNA". It matches the Rfam family "Bacterial small subunit ribosomal RNA", at positions 28 to 507 of the family's 1533-position model. The record is from RNAcentral.